UUGACCAUAAGACUUACUGUCAGUUCUGGAGUUGACAUUCCAAUUCUGAAUGGGAGACAGCCAUUUUGUAGGAUCUGUUCGUGAGUGACACAUGACAAAAGAUCGAGGGGAUUCCACUUCUAGAGGGAUAACAGCUUCCACUCUAAUGGCUAGGAAAAAGGCAUAUUUUCGAUCUUGUUCAUGAUGUAGUUCUAUAAGAUCGGAGUAUACUGGGGAGAUCUUUCGUUCAUGCCCCUUUAAUUCAUCGAGUCAAGCAUCCAAGGUGUGCUUGAUAAUGUUGUUUACAGGUUCGACUUAGCCAUUGGUCAGAGGGUGAUAUGGGUAAAGAAGUGCUUAUUAAUUUUUAGCCCUUCAAAGAAGGACAAUAGUCUUGCGUUUUCAAAUUGUAUGACGUUAUUCAUAAAGAUUGAGUACAGG
This 417-nucleotide long non-coding RNA is filed under the name Olea europaea (common olive). RNAcentral describes it as "long non-coding RNA (OEUR_LNC003131)". The record is from RNAcentral. Lineage: Eukaryota; Viridiplantae; Streptophyta; Magnoliopsida; Lamiales; Oleaceae.